Molecule: unclassified non-coding RNA, 276 nt
Filed under: uncultured fungus
Lineage: Eukaryota; Fungi
Description: partial contains 5.8S ribosomal RNA, internal transcribed spacer 2, and large subunit ribosomal RNA
Rfam family: 5.8S ribosomal RNA (bases 1-52)
Source: RNAcentral
AACGCAUCUUGCGCUCCUUGGUAUUCCGAGGAGCAUGCCUGUUUGAGUGUCAUUUAACUUCUCAACCACUGAUGUGGCUUGGACGUGGGGGUUGUUUGCAGGCUUUUGUUUCAAAAGGUCGGCUCCCCUGAAAUGCAUUAGCGGUGUCUGAGCUGCUACUAUAGGUGUGAUAAUUAUCUAUGCCUUUGGUAUGCUGCAUGAACAGAUUGUGCUGCUUCGAAAUUUGAAUUUGAUGAAUUUGACCUCAAAUCAGGUAGGACUACCCGCUGAACUUAA